UCCUCGUUACAACUUGCAGCUGCAUACCUAAAUUUAUUGUUUGAUAAUGAUAUGCAGAUCACUCCUCGUAUAGACACUCGUUUAUUAUUCUCCUCAAGUUGAAGUGGCAUAUUGCGCUUCCAUAGUUACCUGCUUGCCGCUAACGUAGGCCAUUCAGCAUUUGGCAUAAACUCAUGCCAAUUAGUGCCAACGAGAAUUAGAAUACUUCUGAAUAGAAACUAAAAGCUAAUUUGUCCCUCGGUCCAUUAUUUGUUCUGCUUAACCGUUAUUUCAACUCAGAGGAACAAGAGAUCAGAAUGGGCAUCUACAGGGUUCAAUUCCCCAAGUCUUCUCUGCAUAUUCUUCAAUUGUUCUGUCACUGCUAAAUCUUCCAGACCCAGCCAUGCUAAGAAUGCUCAUUUGAGUCCACUUCUCCUGAUCAACAAAUGCCAUAUCAGCAGCGGCCUGUGCUUCUAGAUAGCUCUCAAAAUCAGAACCAAGGAGGUAGAAGUCAUUGCCAACCUCCACGCUGUCACACAAUGAUUUAAAAUAGUCUUCAAAGCCAAAGUAGCCAUUUCGAACCAUCCUUACAACACGAGCAAAUUGAAGAGGUACUUUAAGAGCAGGUCCUUUCUCGCGCAAAACUGGAACUUCAUUUACUUUUGCACCAAACAAAAACAUGUUAUCUGCACCUAUCUCUUCUAUAAUUUCAAUGGUUGAACCAUCUGCAGUAGCUAGAAGUAAACAUCCAUUCAUCAAAAACUUCAUGCUGCCAGUUCCCGACGCCUCAUGUCCAGCAGUGCUUAUGUGUUGUGAUAGGUCAGCCCCCGGUAUUACCAACUCAGCAACAGAGACAUUGUAAUCAGGGAUAAAAACCAGCUUCAAAAGAUCAUCAACAUCUGGGUCAUUGUUAAUUUUUUCUGCUACAGCAUGACAAAGUUUGAUAAUCUUCUUUGCAAUUUCAUAACCAGGAGCAGCUUUUCCUCCAAUUAUGCAAACACGAGGGACAACAUUUCUCCUGUCAUUCUUCUCCAUGUUCUUAAUGCAAUCAUAUCUGUGAAUGAUGCCAAGUAUAUUGAGAAACUGUCUUUUGUACUCGUGUAUUCGCUUUAUCUGCACAUCAAACAUUGCAUCCACACUGACCUUGACCCCGCUCAUUGUUUCAAUAUAUUCUGCAAGCCUCAUUUUGUUAACCUUCCUCACCAUCUUCCAUUCUUGAUGUAAAUCAGCAUUUGUGGCAUACUCUUGCAAGCCUGCUAAUAGGUCCAAAUUGCGAAUCCAAGCUUCUGUCCCAAGCCAUUUUGAGAUAAGCGCACAUAAACUUGGGUUGCUGACAACAAUCCAGCGACGCUGGGUUACUCCAUUAGUCUUGUAAUGAAAUUUGUGAGGCCACAGCUCAUAGAAGUCCUUGAAAACUCUUGUUUUUAACAACUCCGCGUGUAUUUUAGAAACACCAUUCACAGUGUGAGAACAGACAAUUGAUAGAUUUGCCAUCCGAAUACUCUUCGCAGCACCUUCCUCAACAAUUGACAUCC
RNAcentral lists this unclassified non-coding RNA (1514 nucleotides) under Hevea brasiliensis (rubber tree). The record is from RNAcentral. Lineage: Eukaryota; Viridiplantae; Streptophyta; Magnoliopsida; Malpighiales; Euphorbiaceae.